This 249-nucleotide ribosomal RNA is filed under the name uncultured bacterium. RNAcentral describes it as "partial 16S ribosomal RNA". It matches the Rfam family "Bacterial small subunit ribosomal RNA", at positions 523 to 769 of the family's 1533-position model. The record is from RNAcentral.
AUACGGAGGAUCCGAGCGUUAUCCGGAUUUACUGGGUUUAAAGGGUGCGUAGGCGGGCGCCUUAAGUCAGCGGUGAAAUGCAGCGGCUCAACCGUUGAACUGCCGUUGAAACUGGGGCGCCUUGGAUGCGGUCGAGGCCGGCGGAAUGCGUGGUGUGGCGGUGAAAUGCUUAGAUAUCACGCAGAACGCCAAUUGCGAAGGCAGCUGGCCGGGCCGCAAUCGACGCUGAGGCACGAAAGCGUGGGGAUC